AGUUCUCUGUGAUCUUGGUGAGCGAAAUUCUGAAUGCGAGGCCACUGGUCUGGAACAUGUCCAUUCGCCCAAGUUAGCGGUCAAUCCUCUCAGUUCACCAGACCAAGAGCCACAGCCAGUCCAGCCAUGGGUUACUUCAACAGGUUCCACGUCCCUGUCUCGCAAAGAGCCCUGUCCCCCAUUGACGGAGCCAGCACAAUGUCCGCCAAAGGUGCAUCAAGUGUUUUAGGGUCAGCAACCAUCAGUUCAAGUCCCCAACUCCCAGCGGGAUCAUCCUAGAAAGCCGCAAAAAGUUAGAAGACAAGUUUGGCGAUGUAUUUCAGUAAUGCUCUUAUAAAUCCUAUACUUCCAAAGAAUUAGAAUCAGACGCUAUGUUGGUGAAAUGACGAUUAAAACAACACCUGAAAUUCUGGUGAAAGAUCGGAUCUCCACAAAUGAUACUAUCUGUUUUAAGUAAUGGUUACAUGAUUCUGUUUACAGAGUACCCUCUUCCUAUGUUAUGCCAUAAUAAUCAACCUGCUAUCAGUGAUGCUAGAUUUGUCACUGAAUCAGUCCUAGAUAUCCUUGUUUCUGGCAGAAUAAAAGAGAAAUCCCAUCCAUCCUAUAUCUUGAGCCCCUUAUCAGUGGCCACCCAGGCAUCUAGCAAGAACAGAUUAAUCUUGAAUCAGAGUAAACUCAUUAAGUAUGUCAGGAAAAAACAUUUUAAGAUGGACAAGUAUCGAAGGACAGAUAUAUCCAGCGAGAUAUUAAUGAGUGCCUGUCAAUCUCUAAAUCAGUUUUGUCCUAAGGUAUAAAGAAAGUUGUAAAAGUCCCUGUUUGUAAUGCCUGCUUGAAUAAAUUAUGCGCAGAUAUUCUUCACUUAAUAUUGUGCACCGUAUUUAAUCGCUAGGAGUAAAUAAUCAAGAAUUGAAGAAGUCAAUGUGUGUAUAUAUGUGGGAGUUACCGAUUUUGAUCUAGAAAGAAGGGAAAUUGUGAAUUUUUGAGUAUUUAUGCCUUUUUCCGAGUCAUGUCUUCUCAGAUAAAUUUUGCAUGCAGACUUAUUAAGAGCCAGAGACUAAACAUGUUACAUUCACAUACAGAGUAUACCUGCUUAAUGUGGUUAUUGUGUUGUUCUAACCAAAAUUUGUAGGCUGUAGUUUUUAAGAUUGUUAAGUUCGUAAUACUUGAUCAAGAAUUGAAGAAGACAAAAAAAGUGUUUAUAUUUUCAUUAUCAUUUUCUUUGCCUGAGAAAUACAAAAAGUGUGAAUGUGCAGUAUUUUAUGCCCGUUCAUAAAUUAAGUGUUCCAGAUUUUGUUUUUUCUUGUGGAUUAAUUUAGAUCCGCAAAGGUUAAUAUUUUGUUGUUAUUAAUAAUAUAAAACAGAGAAAGUACUCUUAAUAUUAUCGAGAUGAGUGAAAGUGCAAAGCCGAUUCCUACAAGGCCAGUAACGAUAUAACUAUAUUUGUAUAUUUUUAGUAUUUGAUCAUAGCAGUUCGAUUAACAUAUAAGUUAUAGAGAAUUGAGCAAAAAAAGAAAUGGUGUUUAUUUUGUUUGAUCAGGCUGAGUGCUGAACAGUAUUGAGGUGGAAGAGUUGUUACCAGGCCACGUCCUGAAGAGCCUAAAGGGCUUGAGCAAAUUGCAGCAUUCUCGCAGACCAAAGUACUUUUUUUACGAUUUACUGUAUUACUUCGACCAUUACUAUUACAUUAACAUUAUUAUUAAUUCAAUCCAAAAGAAUACACUUUAAAUUAUAUGCAACUGAAGAUUAUAUUUCAAAGACAAACAUUCCGAUUUAUCUAAGUAACUGCUCACUUUUAAAUUGUAAUGAAUUAUUUGUCUUAAGACAAAAUUCUGAUGAUCUUAAUUUGUUGUAACCUAUUUUUUUUAGAAAACAGCUUAUUUUAAUUUUCAAGAAAAGAAAUACGAUAUAACUAUAUCAUUUAGUUAUUACUUUAGAAGGAGCUUUAUUUAGAAAGUAUAUUAAUGAGUAAAAUGUUGUUUUUUGGCUAACAAACACUUAACGUCAUAGUGCAAGACCUACACCCAUGCUGCCAAUAAAUUAAUCCAACCUUA
RNAcentral lists this long non-coding RNA (2051 nucleotides) under Patiria miniata (bat star). RNAcentral's name for it is "uncharacterized LOC119726727". Lineage: Eukaryota; Metazoa; Echinodermata; Asteroidea; Valvatida; Asterinidae. The record is from RNAcentral.